This 71-nucleotide transfer RNA is filed under the name Acidobacteriota bacterium. RNAcentral's name for it is "Acidobacteria bacterium tRNA-Gly". It matches the Rfam family "tRNA". From Rfam's summary of the family: Transfer RNA (tRNA) molecules are approximately 80 nucleotides in length. Their secondary structure includes four short double-helical elements and three loops (D, anti-codon, and T loops). Further hydrogen bonds mediate the characteristic L-shaped molecular structure. tRNAs have two regions of fundamental functional importance: the anti-codon, which is responsible for specific mRNA codon recognition, and the 3' end, to which the tRNAs corresponding amino acid is attached (by aminoacyl-tRNA synthetases). tRNAs cope with the degeneracy of the genetic code in two manners: having more than one tRNA (with a specific anti-codon) for a particular amino acid; and 'wobble' base-pairing, i.e. permitting non-standard base-pairing at the 3rd anti-codon position. The record is from RNAcentral. Lineage: Bacteria; Pseudomonadati; Acidobacteriota.
GCGGAUGUAGUUCAAAGGCAGAACACAAGCUUCCCAAGCUUGGAAUGGGGGUUCGAUUCCCCUCAUCCGCU